MicroRNA precursor from Medicago truncatula (barrel medic), 200 nucleotides. It matches the Rfam family "MIR2670 microRNA precursor family". Lineage: Eukaryota; Viridiplantae; Streptophyta; Magnoliopsida; Fabales; Fabaceae. The record is from Rfam.
CAGGGGUAAAAUAGUGAGUAGCCGACUUGGGGAAGUGAUCAACCUUUGGGAUAAGUUUAAAUCUGCUUUUUUUUACCCCAAAAACUUUUUAUCAUAGGUAAAAAGAUUCUUCUUGGGGUAUAAAAAAAACCAUAUUUAAAUUUAGCCCAUGGGUUGAUGAUGUAUUUUCCCCAAGAAGACUACUCACCAUUUUACCCCAA